AUUAAAUCUGUUCAAUUUUUCUGAAAUCGUGCUUAAAUAACAUUAGUUGUUCGGCGCUACGAUGUUGUUCAAAUGCUUUUACAUUACAGAAUCACAUUAUGAUUAAACCAGAAACGACUCGACUCGAAACAGCAGUCAGUGAUGAUAUGUGACUCUUUCCACCUUCCAGCAAUUAUUGAGAAUUUACCAAGGACUCCAUUGGCAUUGAAUUGAAGAAAAACUGUUUCAAUAUUGGAUGUAUAUGCAAAUCACCCAGAAAAAGAUCAUUUAACAAAAGAAAUUAUAAAAGAAAAAAAUGGAAGAAGAAAUGGCUGAAAAAAAUGAUGAUAGAGCAGCUUUUUCUUGUUACCCACCUCAGAAGAUCAAGACAGUUGGAAAGGGCUAUUGAUUGGCGUACAAGUACUUCAAAUAAAGUACACCUCUAUGUUACCCACCUCAGAAGAUCAAGACAGUUGGAAAGGGCUAUUGAUUGGCGUACAAGUACUUCAAAUAAAGUACACCUCUAUGAUAUAACGCCAGAAAUUCGCUCACAUCCAUGUCGAUGUGCUGUCAAAGAUUCAUCCGGUCUAUUAAGACAAUGGAGCCAACCUCAAGGUUCGAUGACGUAACUGAUUAAACAAAAAGUGGUUCGACAUGACAAUGAAUUUAUUUCAUUUCUCCAAAAAAAAAAACAAAAAAAAAUACUAAAAUCGGACAAUUCUUAAGAAUAACCCAAUGGAGUAGUAAUUUUAGCCCAGACGAUAAAUACUGAUGUCUUAUGACAUCAACUUCGGCUGUACCCAGAACCACACCCUCUGUCCGUUCGAUUGGAGAAAUUUUAGUGGUGGAAAUUACAAUGGAGAAAUUCUGAUAGUUGAAAAAUACAAAGAUGAAAAAGUUAGAGUGAAUUUGCAAAGGCGAAAAGUAGAAAGUGUAAAAACAUAACUAGAUUUUUUUGGUUUGUUUUGAUACUAAUAUAGUGAUUGUGUGUUAUGUGAUAUUUAAAAGUGAAAAAUCUCGAAAAUGACCAUUUUUACCAUUUUGACUAUGAUAAUUUGUCAAUUUUAACUACUAUAUUUUGUCUUAAUAUGGCAACGAUUCGGUUCCAUACUAGAGAGGACAAGCCUUAUCGUCCAGGAGAUGUUUGAAAUUAUAGAUGUAUAUACAUUUAUUUAAAUAACAGGUUAUUAGCAGAAUAAAAACAAUCUUUCUUUUUUUGACGGACUAUGCUGAACAUGAUUUUAUCAAGAUCUUUGAGGAAAUAAAUAUUUUUAAACUUUAAAUCCACAUUAAUUUUAUCAUGCUCUUAAUACAAUUCAUUGUACCGGUCAAUUAUCAAUCGAUUGUAGCUCCUAAUUCAAAUGUUAAUAUUGUAACAGUUUUCCAGUUUGAAACGUCCGACGUUUCGUGGGGGUGUAUGGUACUUUGCCUGGUAACCUACGUUUUGAAAUGGAACACCAUUGGCAUUACAUCUAAUAGACAAAUGUUGACUAAAUCUGGGUUAAUAUUAUUAAUAACAGGGCUUACCUAUAGAUCAUCGUUUAACAAUCAUCUGAUUAAAAUAUUGAAAGCGAUUGAAUAUACAAGUUUGGAUUUACCUCCCUUUGCUAAUUCAUCAAAAUUUCCCUGUUGGUUCGUUCUCUUCUCUGGAAAAUUCUAUUUUUUUCUGGCAUCGAUCAACCAUAAUAUGCUAACGGACUACAUCCGAGACAUAUCCAGUAAAUUUCUAACAGACUUAAAGGAUCAUUAUAGGUCCGCAGCCUAAAUUUUUAGCAUGUUAUUCCGCUGCAAGGUUCUACCUACAAAACAAACUACAUGUAUACAUUUUUGAGAGAAAGAGAGAGAGAGAGAGAUGGGGUUUAACGUCCACUCGACAAAACUAGGUCAUUUCAGGACUAACACAUGGUUCAAUUUUAUUUCAAUAAUUCGCUUGCGCGUAGGGGUCUUUAGCAGUGGGAGGAAACCCCACGAGGUUGGACAGGCUACCGGGGAAUCGAAACCCCACCAGUUGACUUAAUGACAGACCGUAUCAUACAGCGCACGUGCUAACCAUUCGGCCACCCCAUACAUUUUUUAACUCCAGGAAUAUAAAUCCAGAUAGAUCCACUGUUUGCAAUAACUUGAAUUAGGGCUAGAUGAAAAUUGUGAUAAUUGUCAAGUAAAUGCUAUAUUUAAUAUACUAACAAUAAUUGUGAAGAUGACAUAAAAUUAAAUAUUGGCGGAAACACCCGAUGCCUUCAUCCAAUGCAAAGAAUAUGCUACAAAUACAAAUUUUGGUUGCAGGCCUAUUAGGUAAGAUUAGAUAAAGAGCUGACAGUUCUCGUUGUAAUAGUUAAAAAUUAUACACUGAAAAAAAACUUGUGUUGGAUCUCAACACAAGUACUUGUGUGAAAAUUAUUCUACACAAGUUAUGUGUUGUUUUGCAUUGCAUUAACACAAACUUGUGUUCUUUUUAAUGCAUUAACACAAAUCUUGUGUUUUUUCCAUAUAAUUAACACAAGUAAUGUGUUCCGUCAACAAAUAUUUUUUUUUUUUAAAUUUGAACUCCAUACAAAGUCUUAAUCCGGGGGUCCACAAGUAAGAGAAAAGUAUUUUUUACUCAGACAAUAUAGCCAGACAGACUUGAAUGCUAAUUGGUGUUAAGAUGUCUGUAGUUAAAAUAAAGUUGGGCCCAAUAAACUGGUAGAUCAAAGGCCUGUUGAGCGCUCAUGCCCGGUGUGAUUUUAACAAUUGACUCCAAAUGCGUUGACAAGAAAAUAAGUGAAUGUGAUUGGUUGAUAAAACCAACGUACUAUAGGCUACAUUUUGUCUGCGAUAUCAUCUCGGUGGAAGCGGACAUUAAAUGAAGUGAUUUCACACAAUUAAUUUAACAUUUAACAACGUGCUGAAAUGAUUUUGGAGCAGUGAUAUGUUUGACAAAUGUAAGUUAAUGGUCAGAUAGAAUACAAGACCGCAGGUUUGUGAAUAUUUAUAUAAAAAAAUAAUACCAUGUAUGUAAUUUAGCAUCGAUAUUGUUUCUCUGUAUAAUAUUAGUAUUUCGUUUCCUUAAAAAAAACUCCAACAAUUUAAACCGGAAGUUCAUGUUUAUAAUAUGGCGCGGUCAGGAAAAAAAUUUCGGCAUGUUAUUAUCAAAUCUGUUCAAUUUUUCUGAAAUCAUGCUUAAUUAACAUUAGUUGUUCGGCGCUACGAUGUUGUUCAAAUACUUACAUUACAGAAUCACAUUAUGAUUAAAGCAGAAACGGCUCGAUUUGAACCAGCAGGUAAGAAUCUGUUUUGAAAUUAUAUCUUGGGAGGUUGGAAUGGCGUUGGAGACCCGAUUGGCGGCCAUUUUGAUUCUUGUUUCAUGAUUUUUUUUAUAUUAUAACAAUUUUGCCAAGAGUAGACAUAAACGCGGGCACAGACUAGAAAAAAAUCUUUUUACACUUUUGUGUUAGUUAAAUUGUAAUCUAAUUUAUGUUUUAAAAAAACAACCUUAAAUCUAAUAAGCAGACGGAAGAUAUGGACGAACAACAAGAAGAAGUUAUGGAGGCCCCAACAACUGAACCUAUGGAAGUAGAAGAAUCGUUUACAGCCGAAACCCGAUACGAUGUGCCAGUUCCGGUCAUGGAGUCCUCCAUCUCAGACGAUGCCGACGUUAGUGUCUUCUGCGACGAAGAACCCGUAGUGGUGUAUACGCAGGUAGAAGCUGGUACCUCCCGUGGCAAGUCCAAGUUGUUUGACAACCAAGGGUUUAGUUAUACAAUUAAGACAGAGAAGAAAACUACGAUUUGGAGGUGUUCCAAAAGAAGCGGACCAACACGAUGUCCGGCAACAGUAAUCCAAGAUGGUGAUACAUACCAACCAGGCUUAAAGAACCAUCUUCACCCAGCAGAACCCGGUAUACAGACGGCUACCAAGAUAAAAGUUACAGCAAAGCAUGAAGCCAAAGGAAAUGUUUUUACCAAGUCAUGUUCCUCAAUAGCGGAGAGAGUUUUAUCCAGUGUCGGUUCUGCAGAAGAACCCAUUCAUAGCAGACCACCCAUGGCAGCACUUGUAAGGUCGCUACAAAGAACCCGACAGACUCUGCGACCAAAAGAUCCCACUGACGUGUCGUCAAGCUCAAUGAUGAUAUGUGACUCUUUCCACCUUCCAGCAAUAAUUAUUGAGAAUUUACCAAGGACGCCAUUGGCAUUGAAUCGAAGAAAAACAGUUUCAAUAUUGGAUGUAUAUGCAAAUCACCCAGAAAAAGAUCAUGUAAUAACAAAAGAAAUUAUAAAAGAAAAAAAUGGAAGAAGAAAUGGCUGGAAAAAAUGAUGAUAGAGCAGCUUUUUCUUGUUACCCACCUCGGAAGAUCAAGUUGGAAAGGGCUAUUGAUAUUGUGGAGACGUUUUCUCACAGAUCUUGCUUAUCAGACAAAGACUAUGCUGGAACACCAUUGAAAGAGUAUUUGCUGUAUGAUAACAACAAGAAAACCCAAGCAUCAAUUUAUUUUAUACUUCUGGGAAAGAAUGCAUUUGACCCAAUUUUUAAAUAUUUAUUUUUUGUUAUUAAUGUUAACUUUUCUUCCAAAACACAAUUAGAUUUUAAUUCUCUUCAGAAAUGUAUGUAUAAUAUAGCAAGUAAAGUGACAUAUAAAUCACUUAGAAUUUGGUCAGAAAUCAUAAAGUAUUUAAUAGGCAUUACUAGAAACCAAAUGUAGAUCAAAUACACCCAGAAUUACAAAAAACCUUCACUUACCUAAAGGUGACUUUCCCUUGCUUGUGAAUUGAUAUACGGUUUAGUAUCCUACUUUUCUGUGUUCUUAGAGUGAUUCUGCCCUACACCCUACUCUUAUAUAAAAUAUUGCAACUGUCAAGGGUUCUUUAACGGGAACCCGGGGGGGGGGGGCAAUGAUUAACACGCACACAUUUGAUCAGGAAGUCUGUCAUUGAGUCAAAUAAUUCAAUUGUCAAGGCUUCUUCUAAGUGAACGCAGUCGGGAUGGUUUCGAUUCCGGGAAUGGGGGAGGGGGUGGUGGAUGGCCGAAUGGUAAGCACGUGCGUGCGGUAUCAUACGGCCUGUCAUUGAGUCAACUGGCGUGGUUUCGAAUCCCCGGUUGUACGUGACAAGGAGUAGGGUUGCCUGUCCAAUCUUGUGGGUUUUCUCCGGGACCUCCGGUUUCCUCCCACUGCUAAAGAUCCCUAUGCGCAACGAAUUAUUGAAAUAAAAUUAAACCAUAUGUUAAUCCCGAAAUGACCUAGUUUGUGUCAAGUGGACGUUAAACCCCAUUUCUCUCUCUCUUUCUUUCGAUUCCGGGCUUGUACCCAAUUCCCUUGCCAUAUCCAACACUACUGACAAGUGGGAACUAUGCCGGAAAAUCCAGGUGAAAUUUCUCGGCCAACACCUUAUACUCACUGAACCACUGUGGCUUAUGACUUGUGAUUGUAUAUAAGUUUUUUGUACAUAUGAUAUUUUUUUAUUUCAAUCCUGUAAUCUUGAUGCUUUGCUUCUUUUAUUUACAAAAUAUUCAUUUUGUUUGGGGUUUUUUUAAUGAGGAAAAGGUUUUACAUCAUUUUUUUACUCCUGCAAAAUAGUGCAUUUUUCUUUUGUUAGUUUUCUGUGUAUAUUAGUUAUUUCUAUAUGUCUCACAAAUCACUUGUAGUGUGAUUUUGUAGCACUUUUCAGUUUUUGAAAUUGUUUCAAUUUAGUGCAUAAUUAAUCUUAGUGCUUGGUUUGGAUGUUAUUAAAUUUAGAUAUUAUUUGAAUUAUAUAUUUUGGAGUAUGGGGUAGGGAUACUGUGUACAUAUCUUUAUAUCCUGAUUUCUUUUUUUGGGGUAAAGAACAAUUUAUAUAGCUAUUUUAUAUUUUGUGAUAGGUAAAGUGUGUGUGGUUAAGAACAAUUUAAACAGUUAUGUUAUAUUUUGU
Patella vulgata (common limpet) is the source of this 5861-nucleotide RNA transcript. RefSeq lists it as uncharacterized. The transcript has 12 exons. Lineage: Eukaryota; Metazoa; Mollusca; Gastropoda; Patellidae. The record is from RefSeq and is a predicted model, not a curated record.